GACGAACGCUGGCGGCGUGCCUAAUACAUGCAAGUAGAACGCUGAAGAGAGGAGCUUACUCUUCUUGGAUGAGUUGCGAACGGGUGAGUAACGCGUAGGUAACCUGCCUUGUAGCGGGGGAUAACUAUUGGAAACGAUAGCUAAUACCGCAUAACAAUGGAUGACACAUGUCAUUUAUUUGAAAGGGGCAAUUGCUCCACUACAAGAUGGACCUGCGUUGUAUUAGCUAGUAGGUUAGGUAAUGGCUCACCUAGGCGACGAUACAUAGCCGACCUGAGAGGGUGGUCGGCCACACUGGGACUGAGACACGGCCCAGACUUCUACGGGAGGCAGCAGGAGGGAAUCUUCGGCAAUGGGGGCAACCCUGACCGAGCAACGCCGCGUGAGUGAAGAAGGUUUUCGGAUCGUAAAGCUCUGUUGUAAGUCAAGAACGGGUGUGAGAGUGGAAAGUUCACACUGUGACGGUAGCUUACCAGAAAGGGACGGCUAACUACGUG
This 497-nucleotide ribosomal RNA is filed under the name uncultured bacterium. RNAcentral's name for it is "partial 16S ribosomal RNA". It matches the Rfam family "Bacterial small subunit ribosomal RNA", at positions 28 to 507 of the family's 1533-position model. The record is from RNAcentral.